CGAAAAUCCCCACAGCCCCGCACACACCACCGCACCAAUCCGACCGGCGCGCGCUGCAGGGGCGGUGUGGCCACUGAUGCUGCAAGGUGCGAAGCCAAGGGCCGCUCUCCGCAUGGCCGCGCGCCCACCUUCACCUUCUCCCCCCAUGAUAGUCGUGGCGUUGGAGCUGCGAGCUGGAGCACGCACGGCUGACACCGGCGACACACGGUGCAACAACCGGGCAUGUCCACUGCCGAGAAGGAGCACGGUGCUGCAAUGGCGAGCUUCGACCAAUGCCAGAACCAGACGCCGCCGGGAACUGCUGGGACCGGCAAUAAAUUUUGCUGGAACCAGUAGGAAUUUUUGCUGCGCACAGGCAAGGGACCGGUGACUAUUUAAGGUGUGGAUGUGCUGCAUUUCAGUUUGUGGGUUGCUCGCUCUGGUUCUUAUUUUAUUUCAUGACAAGACGUGGUGCCUCCGAUGGCGUCAUUGGACAUGGAUGCAUUCAGCUAGGCCGCCUUCUGGUGGUAGACGUGGUCUUGCUGGUCAGAAGGUGAAUAUUGAUCGUGGUCUAUGGGCAGGCUACUAGACAUGCAAUCAAUGGAGCCCCGAAAGGGACCAGAGGUCGCCUCUGGAGGUUGUGCUCACGAUAUUAUCAUUAUAUCAACGAUCAUAGCUAUCAUGCAUUUGAAGUCACAAAGACAAAGUUGUUUCCAAGAAGGCACACCAAUCAAUGACAGUUCAACAUGGCCCAUCAGAACAUAAGUGCCCAGCAAAAUGAAUUCACAAUACAGACUAAGAUCCUGGCAAAGAUAUGAACAACCUAACUAUUGUCGUUCUAGAGGGAAGAGGGCAGCUCUCACACUAAAUGAUAUUCUGUAAAUGGACACUCGGAUAAGAUAGAUGUAUAAGUGGUUAGUUAUGAGGGUUCAUUCCAUUCUCUGCUC
Molecule: long non-coding RNA, 926 nt
Organism: Triticum dicoccoides
Lineage: Eukaryota; Viridiplantae; Streptophyta; Magnoliopsida; Poales; Poaceae
Exons: 2
Source: RefSeq, a predicted model, not a curated record